Molecule: long non-coding RNA, 290 nt
Organism: Cavia porcellus (domestic guinea pig)
Lineage: Eukaryota; Metazoa; Chordata; Mammalia; Rodentia; Caviidae
Exons: 2
Source: RefSeq, a predicted model, not a curated record
CCUGCCUGAAGCCAAGGCUAGAGAGCCGUCUGGGUGGUGGCUGGGAGGUAGGGAACCUAAGUUUCACCCCCAUACCUUCAGCAUGGCAACCAAUCAAACUCAGAGGCCAAGUGUCUGCAAGACUGUGAGUGGUUCUUUCCUAACCUGAAAUCCCUGAUCCGGAAUGGUGCUGUGUGCCCUUCCACUAUCCACCAUGAGCUGAAGAAACACAAGGCCUUUACUGGAAGCCUGCACAACUAGACCUCCCACUCUCCAAAGCCAUAGGAUAAAAUAAACUUCUUUACAAAUUC